Molecule: ribosomal RNA, 400 nt
Filed under: phytoplankton environmental sample
Lineage: Eukaryota
Description: partial small subunit ribosomal RNA
Rfam family: Eukaryotic small subunit ribosomal RNA
Source: RNAcentral
AGCUCCAAUAGCGUAUAUUAAAGUUGUUGCAGUUAAAAAGCUCGUAGUUGGAUCUGUGGCGUGUGGUGGGCUCCGGGCACUUGUUGUCUGAGUAGCUCGCCGCUGCCAUCCUUGGGUGGAACCUGUGUGGCAUUAGGUUGUCGUGCAGGGGAUGCCCAUCGUUUACUGUGAAAAAAUUAGAGUGUUCAAAGCAGGCUUAUGCCGUUGAAUAUAUUAGCAUGGAAUAAUGAGAUAGGACUUUUUCGCUAUUUUGUUGGUUUGCGCGAAGAGGUAAUGAUUAAUAGGGACAGUUGGGGGUAUUCGUAUUCCAUUGUCAGAGGUGAAAUUCUUGGAUUUUUGGAAGACGAACUACUGCGAAAGCAUUUACCAAGGAUGUUUUCAUUAAUCAAGAACGAAAGUA